This is a long non-coding RNA of Cygnus olor (mute swan), 3641 nucleotides long. RefSeq lists it as uncharacterized. NCBI's taxonomy places the organism in Eukaryota, Metazoa, Chordata, Aves, Anseriformes, Anatidae. The record is from RefSeq and is a predicted model, not a curated record. The transcript has 5 exons.
UCUACAUGAACAGCUCUGGGGGGUGCUUGGUUGGCUGAGGUGUCAAUGCACAGAACAGACCAGUGGAAGAAGAGAAGCAGAUACACAGAGGAGUGGGUGACUAUGAAAGGGUGAAUUCGCUUCGGCCUCAGAGUCAUUGACUUCAAGAUCUUGCCCAGAGAAGCUGUGGAUGCCCCAUUCCUGGAAGUGUUCAAAUCCAGGCUGGAUGGAGCUUUAAGCAACCUGGUCUGGAGAUAGCUUGUCCGGUGGGUCUGUACCUCCUGAGAUGCCUCCUGCACAGCCAUGAGACACCAUCUUCUGUGGAUCUCCAGAGGAGAGCUGGUGCUUCUGGGUUAAAUUCAGGGCCUGCACUUCUAGCAGCAGAAAAGUGUCAGCAGGAGCUGAUCCCAGCAGUUCAACGUAAUCACUGAAAGCAGAGAAAAUCCAGGAGAUUUCACUGGAACUGAGCAAGAGCUUGACAGCUGGCAAAUGCUAAUCAAUAAGUGGUGCUGGCAGCAGGGAAUAGAGGUGUGUGCAACCCUUGUCUCUUCACCACGUGAAAGCCAUGUUGGGUAUACGUUCAUCAGCCAGUGUGGUGGCUUCUGGGGCCAGCACUGCAUCUGGAGAUCCUGAGUCUGGCAGACCCCUGAGGAAGCAAGUUAUCACAUGGUGAAGGACCAGCUGCUUUGGUAAAUUAAAAGAUCACCAUAGACCAAGUUAUUGUUGGCCAGCGGCUGUUUGAAAGCUACCAGACCUUUCCUACUUGUUGUACAUGUCUCUUUGAGACAGGAAAAUGUCUCUGCUGGGGAGUUGUGACCUGCUGGUGCUGUCACCCAGGGCAAUGGAAAACCUGUCUCCCUUGCGGCAAGAGCUGCAGAUGCCAUCCGGCUCCUUCCCUUGCUUUCAUUUUUGGAUACCAGCCAUGGGUUGCUUAUCAUCGGUCCUGAUCCCUAAAGCUGAGGUGCUGAUUCUAAUCUGCAGCUGCAGCUGGGUUUAAAUCUUGAUCUGCAAUCGGUGAGUCUGAGCGCUGAGUGUGCAGAGACAUUAUUAGAUUAUUAAAUCAAUGACACUCAGGUUAUUAGUCACACUCAUCCGCAUUACCUGACACUGUAAUGAUGUUCUAUUUUUACUUCCAUCCUGCUAAUGUCCCAGAGGUACUGAAAUUAUGACCAGAAAAUUAAUUUCUAUACAUUUGAACAAGAAAUAGAAGUAUAGGGAAUAAUCCCAUAUUGACAGUAUAAAUCCUAAAGGAGUUGUUUAGAAAAGCAACGGGGAGAGGGAAAGGGCUGAGAAUGGUGCCUCACAUGCAGACUCCUCUCUGUGCUGCAAUGCCCGGCUCUUAAGGGUUUGCUGGCUGCUAAUAACUGGGCCAGGCUAUUUUAGCUUGUAACUCAUUUGGGGCAAUUAGGACUCCUGAGCUGGCAUUAAUGAUUUCACUCGUUCAGCCAAUACUUCCUUGCAGAAUCCCUCUGUUGUCUCAAUGGGCUUUCUUCAGAAGUGAAAUAAAACCCAGUAAACAGAAAAAGGCCAGCAUGUGGCAAGAUGUUGUUUAUAUUUUCAAAAAUUACUCAAGUGCAAGCAAAUUAUCAUCUCAGCCCCCAGACUGAGGUAAGAAGGGAGUUCCGAUCCGAUGGCACCUGAAGACUGCAUUUGGCGUUAUUUCUGCUCUGUGUGACUAACCAUCUGCAGGCGGGGAGGAAUCAAUCCGUCACUGUGGAAAAACACCACCAAAGCUGCCGAACGUCCAUCCCGCCCCUGUCUAACAGACCAGCACUGGCACCUCACCCCUUCAGCUGGGGAGACACAAAAAUUUGGCUUGAAGGGCCUGGCUCUGCCUUUUGAAAUCCCUGGGCAGGAGCUGCAUGGAGACCUGAGCUCAGGGAGGGUGGCUGGAAGGGGUGAGCUCAGCAGGGUACCCGAAGCACUCAGCCUGUGCAGCUCUCCAGUGUGUGCACAGAUCUUCUGGGGGAAAAUGGGGAGAAGCAUAUGGUGAAAGAUCCUGCAGGGAAAGCCAUUCGCAUCCUUCCCCACACCGCCCACGGCUCCCAUUACUUGCAAUUUCCCCGAGUUUAUUGAUUACCAGGAACAAAUCUACGUAUUGCUUGAUACUAACUUGGUUUUAAUGCAAGUCUUAAUGAUGCAUUUGUUUCAUAUUUGCAAUUAAUGUAGAAACAAGUGUUGGUGUUCACUGUGCCAAAAAAGGAGCAGAGUGACUUUCUGAGGUCUUCAGCUGGGGAAUUUCCACUUAAAAACAGAGAGAUGUGUGAGCAUAAGUGUGUGUACCUUGUUUGUACCUGGUAAAUGCAUGUGGCAGGGUGUUCUCAUGAGCAAAGCUCAUAGUAGAACUAUAAUGAGAUGAGUUGUUUAGGUGUAAUUAAAAGAUGUGGUGAGAACUUGCAUGGAAAUCCUUUUCUCUAGGCUUUGGGAUCCCUGCUAAUAAGACAUAAACAUUUAGCAGCUCAGCUGGAGUACAGUGUGCUCUUUGGUUAAACAUUAAAGGGGCAUUGUCAAGUGGCUUUAAUUAAUUAGCUAGGCUUUAAAUGAAAUCAAAUCAAUUUGGAGCAGUUAGGCUCAAAAUUAAAGUUGUUUUCACCUGGUAGGAAAUGUCCUUCAAAUUCUGAACAUCUUACAGACAAUGAGAAUUUAAAAUGCCUUUAAGAAAUUUCAUCCAUAUGUUUUCCUUUCCUUUUCCUAUUUGUGCAGAGAAUGGCCAGUAGUCUGAUGAUCUAAUGUUACCGUAAUUUUCAUAGUGACAGUACAUCGAAAUUAAGCCUUUCAGUCUGCAUACAUGGCAGUCAGCAUUUACGUGACAUCUUCUAGAUGUGCAGCAUCCAGACCCAUGUCAAGCCUGGAUAAUGGAGUCUUGAAUAUACGUUUUUCCCUUUUUAUUACAACUUCUCAUGGGGCAUUAUCGCCCUUGUUGUCACUGUUGACACUAACAAGUAAAUAGGAAAGUUGUGGAAGUAGGUUAGCUUGCACGUCAUUAAUGUAAUUUCUGAGCACAAGGGGGUGUAACUUAUGUUCAGCCUCCAUUAUCUCUGAGUUUUCUGCCCACUUCUGGCCAUGAGACAGAAGCUUCAAGAGUUAUAAAAUUCUUAGAGGUAUUGUGAAUGUCCACAGCUGGAGAGGGAAGGGAGACCAGCCCGAAUGAAGCCCUUCAGCCUGUGCUGAAGGAGAUGGUGCAAGACAAGAUCAGGGAUGGGGUUGAUGACUGCAAUUCUGUUCUCUGGUCGGUGGAGGAGAGGAUGCCUUCCCAGCCUCCAGGCAGGGGCUGCUUUCUAUUUUUCUUGCUCUUUUCUGAAAACAAAUGCUAUUCUUGAUAUUGACUUUUUAAAAGCAAAAGAAUUGAACAAAAUGAGAGUGUAGGCACUUCUUAUUAGGCCAGCACAAUACCAUAUAUUACCUUAGAUGCUUUGAGUUAGAUUUAGGGGGGAAAAAUCAACACAAACUCCCUGUGACACAAUAGACCAUAACUGCUGGAAGCCGUUAUGGGCUAUUAUGCGAAGCCGUUACAGUCUAUUGAGUAAAUAAUCUACAGAUUAAAGCUUUCUAAGUACACAGUAACUUGAUAGGUAACCAAAGAAGCCAUUACGGUAUGUCAUGUCAAUAAGAGGAGGAUUAAGGUCCCUUAUGUUUUGUACAGUGACAGGGUCUAUCUGCUG